AUGACAUGUGUGGAGCCUCAGCGAAGGUCAGCGUCUCGGCUGAAUGAUGGCCAGCUCGGAACAGGGCCUCUCGUUGCCCAUCUGCCUACUGCUUCCCUUCAUCCACCUGCCGAACGCACAGAGGCAGCCACAGGACUUCACUGGCUGGACUGGGGACCACAGAACUGCAGCUCUACUGACCUAUUUCUCUCUGUGGAUGAUGCUGGGCCAGAUGUAAUACUCUAAAGAAGCUCAAAGAUGGUCACUCAUCAAGACAGAGUUUGGUAUGACGAUGAUGAACCAAGUCCCCCUCGCCUGUGUUAGCAUAUGGCAAACGUCGCUCCCCUGUGCUGAAAGUGACUGGGUCCCCGACUCUAGGAAGAUGUGACCAAUAAGAAGAAUGUACAGGGCUGGCCGGGUGGCUCAGUUGGUUAGAGCACGAGCUGAGC
Hipposideros armiger (great roundleaf bat) is the source of this 428-nucleotide long non-coding RNA. RefSeq lists it as uncharacterized. NCBI's taxonomy places the organism in Eukaryota, Metazoa, Chordata, Mammalia, Chiroptera, Hipposideridae. The record is from RefSeq and is a predicted model, not a curated record. The transcript is spliced from 3 exons.